RNAcentral lists this non-coding RNA (79 nucleotides) under Candidatus Magnetomorum. RNAcentral describes it as "c-di-GMP sequence". It matches the Rfam family "c-di-GMP-I-GGC riboswitch aptamer". The record is from RNAcentral. RNAcentral also lists the same sequence under 1 other name. Lineage: Bacteria; Pseudomonadati; Thermodesulfobacteriota; Desulfobacteria; Desulfobacterales; Candidatus Magnetomoraceae.
AGGGAAAAAGGCAAACCUGCGGUGACGUGGGGACGCAAAAUUACGGGUCUUAUAUAUAAAGAUAGCCGAAUUGCCAAAC